Molecule: long non-coding RNA, 628 nt
Organism: Cephus cinctus (wheat stem sawfly)
Lineage: Eukaryota; Metazoa; Arthropoda; Insecta; Hymenoptera; Cephidae
Exons: 3
Source: RefSeq, a predicted model, not a curated record
UACGCGUUAAGCGUUGACAAACCAGUCGCACUGAGACAGUGCAGUUUAUUUGAACUAUAUUACGUUAUUACGUACAGUUUUCAGUUUUGUGGUAAAAAUAUGUGAAGUACUUCAAGUGUCAAGUGUAUGGAUACAUCUAGGAAGAGUCCAUAAAGUUUCAAAAGCCAAAUGGUAUCCUUCCUUCUAACCGCAAAAGUUAUCGUUAAACCAACACCCGUUGGCUCUAAAGGCGACUGCUGGUAGAUGGGAAGCACAGUGAUAUUCCCGGUGGUUGAAAAGGUGGAAGGUGCACAAGGGAGUAAAUUACACGCAGUGGUCCAGAAAUUCUUUUUUAACACUUCCAAUAUCAAAUACACGUCACAUCAAAAUCACUAUACACGUUAUCAACACUUUGUUGACCGGCAAUUUUACCCAGAAGUUAUCUCAUGUCACCGGCUGUUAUUUCAUAAUUGAAUGUGGAAGUGGAAUAGCUAAUGCAACUGCAAACACAUGUUAACUCGUGACAGGCGGUUUGUAAUUCAUCCCCUGACGAGCGCGUUUCCUAUGGAUGCUGAUGUAUCUAAGCUACUGGCAUCAACUAUACCUUCAACGUACCAGGAGUAGCAGUAGCUGUAAAUCGUGCGGCAAA